This 627-nucleotide ribosomal RNA is filed under the name uncultured bacterium. Its description in RNAcentral is "bacterial SSU rRNA". The stretch from base 1 to 530 matches the Rfam family "Bacterial small subunit ribosomal RNA", at positions 338 to 873 of the family's 1533-position model. The record is from RNAcentral.
CCUACGGGAGGCAGCAGUUAGGAAUAUUGGACAAUGGGCGAAAGCCUGAUCCAGCCAUGCCGCGUGUGUGAUGAAGGCCCUAGGGUUGUAAAGCACUUUCGUUGGGGAUGAUAAUGACCGUACCCAAAGAAGAAGCACCGGCUAACUUCGUGCCAGCAGCCGCGGUAAUACGAAGGGUGCAAGCGUUGUUCGGAAUCACUGGGCGUAAAGAAUGCGUAGGCGGCUUAACAAGUCGGGAGUGAAAUCCCAGGGCUCAACCCUGGAACUGCUCUCGAAACUGUUUGCUAGAGUCCCGGAGGGGUUAGCGGAAUUCCGAGUGUAGAGGUGAAAUUCGCAGAUAUUCGGAGGAACACCAGUGGCGAAGGCGGCUAACUGGACGGGAACUGACGCUGAGGCAUGAAAGUGUGGGGAUCAAACAGGAUUAGAUACCCUGGUAGUCCACACCGUAAACGAUGUGUGCUAGUUGUCGGGCAGCUUGUCUGUUCGGUUGGUACGGACGGACGUAACGUUUUAACGUUACGUACACCGACCGUCGGGUAAGGUACGGCCGGCCGAACGGUUAAAACGUAACGAAGGAAGUUAGUACGGCGUGAGACGUAGCCGACGGACGACGACGAGGGAGGUAGG